CGAACUUCCGUUAAUUGAUUAUGACGUACUUGUACUGAUUGAGAUUUUAACACGAAGUGAGUGGCGAACGGGUGAGUAACACGUGGGUAACCUGCCCAGAAGUAGGGGAUAACACCUGGAAACAGAUGCUAAUACCGUAUAACAGAGAAAACCGCAUGGUUUUCUUUUAAAAGAUGGCUCUGCUAUCACUUCUGGAUGGACCCGCGGCGUAUUAGCUAGUUGGUGAGGUAAAGGCUCACCAAGGCAGUGAUACGUAGCCGACCUGAGAGGGUAAUCGGCCACAUUGGGACUGAGACACGGCCCAGACUCCUACGGGAGGCAGCAGUAGGGAAUCUUCCACAAUGGACGCAAGUCUGAUGGAGCAACGCCGCGUGAGUGAAGAAGGGUUUCGGCUCGUAAAGCUCUGUUGUUAAAGAAGAACGUGGGUAAGAGUAACUGUUUACCCAGUGACGGUAUUUAACCAGAAAGCCACGGCUAACUACGUGCCAGCAGCCGCGGUAAUACGUAGGUGGCAAGCGUUAUCCGGAUUUAUUGGGCGUAAAGCGAGCGCAGGCGGUCUUUUAAGUCUAAUGUGAAAGCCUUCGGCUCAACCGAAGAAGUGCAUUGGAAACUGGGAGACUUGAGUGCAGAAGAGGACAGUGGAACUCCAUGUGUAGCGGUGAAAUGCGUAGAUAUAUGGAAGAACACCAGUGGCGAAGGCGGCUGUCUGGUCUGCAACUGACGCUGAGGCUCGAAAGCAUGGGUAGCGAACAGGAUUAGAUACCCUGGUAGUCCAUGCCGUAAACGAUGAUUACUAAGUGUUGGAGGGUUUCCGCCCUUCAGUGCUGCAGCUAACGCAUUAAGUAAUCCGCCUGGGGAGUACGACCGCAAGGUUGAAACUCAAAAGAAUUGACGGGGGCCCGC
RNAcentral lists this ribosomal RNA (903 nucleotides) under Pediococcus pentosaceus. Its description in RNAcentral is "bacterial SSU rRNA". It matches the Rfam family "Bacterial small subunit ribosomal RNA", at positions 47 to 924 of the family's 1533-position model. The record is from RNAcentral. Lineage: Bacteria; Bacillati; Bacillota; Bacilli; Lactobacillales; Lactobacillaceae.